This 404-nucleotide ribosomal RNA is filed under the name uncultured bacterium. Its description in RNAcentral is "partial 16S ribosomal RNA". It matches the Rfam family "Bacterial small subunit ribosomal RNA", at positions 28 to 526 of the family's 1533-position model. The record is from RNAcentral.
GACGAACGCUGGCGGCGUGCUUAACACAUGCACGUCGAGCGGAGCUGCGAACGGGUGAGUAACUCGUGAGUAACUGCCCCCCUCUCUGUGAUAACAGUUGGAAACGGCUGCUAAUACCGGAUAGUUGGGGAUGACUCGCGUCCUAUCAGCUCGUUGGUGGGGUAGUGGCCUCCCAAGUCGACGACGGGUAGCCGGCCUGCGAGGGCGACCGGCCAAAUUGGGCUGCGAGACGGGCCAAACUCCUACGGGAGGCAGCAGUGGAGAAUAUUGCACAAUGGGGGAAACCCUGAUGCAGCAACGCGCGUGCGGGAUGACGGCCUUCGGGUUGUAAACCGCUUGCAGCCAUGACUCGGUAGUGGCAGAAGAAGCACCGGCUAACUACGGGCCAGCAGCCGCGGUAAUUC